Long non-coding RNA from Dendrobium catenatum, 660 nucleotides. RefSeq lists it as uncharacterized. The record is from RefSeq and is a predicted model, not a curated record. The transcript has 2 exons. Lineage: Eukaryota; Viridiplantae; Streptophyta; Magnoliopsida; Asparagales; Orchidaceae.
UGCUCGCAUACCUCGUAUCCAUUUUUCUUCCGAACGAUAAUAGCGCAUGCUGUUUCACGGCUUAUAUAAGCCAAGGCAAUAAUACAAAUGAGGCGGAGCAGUGGUUUCUGAGAGUUAGUUCAUCUCUUUGUGAGCUCGAAUUUAGAUGGCUGAAAUCCUUACAGUCUCUCCCUUCCUCACUUGAGCAACUAUCUAUUUAUUGUGGCGUUCGUAUGCUUCUGGAAUUGCCGAACCUUCCUCCCUUUUGAAACGUCUAGCAAUAAUUGGGGAUUGUCAUCCAGAGUUGAAGGAGUGCUAUGGACAGGAUGGAGGCUCCGAUCGGCACAUGAUUGCUCACAUUCCGAGUAUCAAUAUAUAAGCAAUCUUAUUUGUUUUUUUUUUUUGGAACAUUUAAGUCAUUUAAGGCAAACUCACACACACAACGCAUACACAUACUCACAUUCCGAGUAUCAAUAUAUAAGCAAUCUUAUUUGUUUUUUUUUUUUUUUUGGGACAUUUAGGCCAUUUAAGACAAACUCACACACACAACGCAUACACAUAGACUCGAACCCCGAACCUCUUAGUUGGAAGCCUAAGCUCUCAACCAAUAGGCCAAGGAGAGUUGUGUAAUCUUAUUUGUUUGAUAUAUAUGAAAUGUGAAGAAUGCAUAAUAUUUUAGCA